RNAcentral lists this ribosomal RNA (495 nucleotides) under uncultured bacterium. RNAcentral's name for it is "partial 16S ribosomal RNA". It matches the Rfam family "Bacterial small subunit ribosomal RNA", at positions 28 to 507 of the family's 1533-position model. The record is from RNAcentral.
GACGAACGCUGGCGGCGUGCCUAAUACAUGCAAGUAGAACGCUGAAGGAGGAGCUUGCUUCUCUGGAUGAGUUGCGAACGGGUGAGUAACGCGUAGGUAACCUGCCUGGUAGCGGGGGAUAACUAUUGGAAACGAUAGCUAAUACCGCAUAAGAGUAGAUGUUGCAUGACAUUUGCUUAAAAGGUGCAAUUGCAUCACUACCAGAUGGACCUGCGUUGUAUUAGCUAGUUGGUGGGGUAACGGCUCACCAAGGCGACGAUACAUAGCCGACCUGAGAGGGUGAUCGGCCACACUGGGACUGAGACACGGCCCAGACUCCUACGGGAGGCAGCAGUAGGGAAUCUUCGGCAAUGGACGGAAGUCUGACCGAGCAACGCCGCGUGAGUGAAGAAGGUUUUCGGAUCGUAAAGAUCGGUUGUAAGAGAAGAACGAGUGUGAGAGUGGAAAGUUCACACUGUGACGGUAUCUUACCAGAAAGGGACGGCUAACUACGUG